RNAcentral lists this ribosomal RNA (253 nucleotides) under uncultured bacterium. RNAcentral describes it as "partial 16S ribosomal RNA". It matches the Rfam family "Bacterial small subunit ribosomal RNA", at positions 524 to 776 of the family's 1533-position model. The record is from RNAcentral.
UACGCAGGGGGCUAGCGUUGCUCGGAAUCACUGGGCGUAAAGCGCACGUAGGCGGACUCUUAAGUCAGGGGUGAAAUCCUGGAGCUCAACUCCAGAACUGCCUUUGAUACUGAGGAUCUUGAGUUCGGGAGAGGUGAGUGGAACUGCGAGUGUAGAGGUGAAAUUCGUAGAUAUUCGCAAGAACACCAGUGGCGAAGGCGGCUCACUGGCCCGAUACUGACGCUGAGGCACGAAAGCGUGGGGAGCAAACAGG